GUGCCUCCACCCACGCCGGCGUCGGCGGGCGUAUUUCGCCUCACAGUAGGUCGCCGCGACCCGUUGCUUUUGGGGACGUCGAAGGCCCGGACGGAUUGGUACCCUACCGGCUGGGGAUGCGGCUUCGGCUUCUCCUCUUGUCCGGUGGGCGAAACCGCCGGUGUCCUGGCUGCCCUGCGACGGUCGUAGAGACGAGCCCUCCCCUUCGGGGGGGCGGCUCUCGCGGCGUGCAAAAGGUCGGUGAUCCACCCGACCCGUCUUGAAACACGGACCAAGGAGUCUAACAUGUGUGCGAGUCAGUGGGCGCACUAAACCCAGAGGCGUAAUGAAAGUGACACGGGUUCGGCUGUCGCCUCGUGUGGCAGCCGGACUCAGGGCCGAUCCCUCACCGGUUGCCCUCGCUUCUCUCCCGCGUCUCGGUAAGCCGGGUGAGCUAUUUUCCCCGGCCGCUGCUGCGGGGCUCGGGGGGAGGCGGGGUUGCGAUGGUGUCCGUAAAAAAGAGCCUGCUGUUGCAGGGGGGCGCAGGCCCGGGACUUGCCAGGACGCCGCGAGACUGUCACUUUGCUGUGAGGCUCUCGGGCCGAUCAGCGGGUCAUGCGUGCAGUCGGCAAGUACCAUGAGCAGACAUGUUGGGACCCGAAAGAUGGUGAACUAUGCCUGGCCAGGAUGAAGCCAGAGGAAACUCUGGUGGAGGUCCGUAGCGAUUCUGACGUGCAAAUCG
RNAcentral lists this ribosomal RNA (721 nucleotides) under Creaserinus brevistylus. RNAcentral's name for it is "partial 28S large subunit ribosomal RNA". The stretch from base 271 to 721 matches the Rfam family "Eukaryotic large subunit ribosomal RNA", at positions 665 to 900 of the family's 3401-position model. Lineage: Eukaryota; Metazoa; Arthropoda; Malacostraca; Decapoda; Cambaridae. The record is from RNAcentral.